CGCUGGCGGCGUGCCUAACACAUGCAAGUCGAGCGGGGAGGAGAAAGCUUGCUUUCGAAUCCUAGCGGCGGACGGGUGAGUAACGCGUGAGCAACCUGCCUCUUACAGGGGGAUAACGCAUCGAAAGAUGUGCUAAUACCGCGUAAGACCACAGCAUCACAUGGUGCAGGGGUCAAAGGAGCAAUCCGGUAAGAGAUGGGCUCGCGUCCGAUUAGCUAGUUGGCGGGAUAACAGCCCACCAAGGCGACGAUCGGUAGCCGACCUGAGAGGGUGAUCGGCCACAUUGGAACUGAGAUACGGUCCAGACUCCUACGGGAGGCAGCAGUGGGGAAUAUUGGGCAAUGGGCGAAAGCCUGACCCAGCAACGCCGCGUGAGGGAAGAAGGGUUUCGGCUCGUAAACCUCUGUCCUAUGGGACGAAGAAGUGACGGUACCAUAGGAGGAAGCCCCGGCUAACUACGUG
Molecule: ribosomal RNA, 462 nt
Filed under: uncultured bacterium
Lineage: Bacteria
Description: bacterial SSU rRNA
Rfam family: Bacterial small subunit ribosomal RNA
Source: RNAcentral